Molecule: long non-coding RNA, 390 nt
Filed under: Homo sapiens (human)
Lineage: Eukaryota; Metazoa; Chordata; Mammalia; Primates; Hominidae
Description: non-protein coding lnc-KBTBD13-3:1
Source: RNAcentral
GGCUACAGUAACCUUCCAGCAGUCAAGAAGAUGACCUUCAGCCAGUACCCCUAUAGCAACCUCUGCAAGGGCUUGGGGGCCUUGCUCUCAGAACAGGGCUUUCAUCUUACGAACAAGUUCCUGACCUACUUCCCCGGGAGGAGCACUGAGGAUGGCCGCAAGCGAGUAUUUCUGCGAGAUCGCCCCCCGCCCCCCCACUGACCCCUCGAUGUUCCCCACGUGGCCCGUAAAGAGUGAGCAGCAGUGUGUGAAGUGGAGCACCAGCACGCCCCCACCCGACCCGCGCCCCGCCAGGGAGGCCUGGGCUACAGCCAGCUGGGUGACGACCACGUGAAGGAGACUGGCUUCCACUUCACCAUCACGAACCAGGGCGCCUCGGUUGCGGGCCCG